Molecule: ribosomal RNA, 242 nt
Filed under: uncultured bacterium
Lineage: Bacteria
Description: partial 16S ribosomal RNA
Rfam family: Bacterial small subunit ribosomal RNA
Source: RNAcentral
CGGGUCCCGAUGCUAGUGGCGCACGGGUGAGUAACACGUGGGAACGUACCCUUUAGUACGGAAUAACUGAGGGAAACUUCAGCUAAUACCGUAUGACUCCUUCGGGAGAAAGAUUUAUCGCUAAAGGAUCGGCCCGCGUCUGAUUAGGUAGUUGGUGAGGUAAUGGCUCACCAAGGCGACGACGGGUAGCCGGCCUGAGAGGGUGAACGGCCACACUGGGACUGAGACACGGCCCAGACUCC